RNAcentral lists this long non-coding RNA (1058 nucleotides) under Homo sapiens (human). RNAcentral's name for it is "long intergenic non-protein coding RNA 2641". The record is from RNAcentral. Lineage: Eukaryota; Metazoa; Chordata; Mammalia; Primates; Hominidae.
GGUGACAUCAGCAAAAGGGAGCCAACUCCUUCCCCGUCUGCCGUUUUGUACUCUUGGCCUAACGUUGACUCAAAACAGCAACUUGGAGCCUUCCCUGACCUGUUGGAAGAAGAGCCCAAGGACCGUAGCAAGGCCCUGAUUCUGGGAGACGAGAGAACACGCUGACUUAGAAUGCUUGUCUCUGCAUCCUGGUCAGAAAGUAGAUGGACGACACUUUCAUCUCCGACUGGAUUUUGGUGAGAGAUGGGCAAACCCCGGGCUCUAGGCUGGAGCAGCAGCUCUUGUAUCCACACAAAAUCAGGACUGGUGGAGGGAGCCAUCUUCAAACAUAAAUUUGGCAUAUUAUGAAUAUUCAGUGAAACAACGUGUGUGCUCACCAGGCAGGAAGAGCUCAGCAAAUGGUGGCUGGUCUGGAAAUUAUUGUCAUCACUAUAAUCCUCAUCGACAUCCUCAGCCUUAUUGUCAUCAUCAUCAACCUCAUCAGUGUCAUCAUCAGCCUCAUCAACGUCAUCAUCAGCCUCAUCACUGUCAUCAUCAGCCCUUUGUCAUCAUCAUCAUCCACCUUGCUGUUCUCUUCCUUGUUGACAUCAUUAUCCUCAUCCUCCUCAUCACCAUCAACAGCAUUAUUUUUAUUUUUUAUUCUUCCACCUGUAAGAGUUUCUUUUCCUCCCUCUUAUUGUUUUCCUCUUGGGAUGACUAGUGGUGAAGGAAGUGUCAGAGGCAAUGACCUCACAGCUGUCGUUGCCAUGGGUGACACCUCCCAGAAAGAGCUUAUUGGAACUUUCAGUCCAGGGGAGUUUCUGCUGUUCCAGGAUGGAGGAAAUGUUCAAGAACUGUGGAGCAUCUGAGAUUUUUUUCCUACUUUUGAUGUCCACCUAGUCAAAGUUCAGUUCCCUUCCAGGAUCUGCGCUUGGGAAGAAAUAAGCCACCCCUCAGAACCUCAGAAGAUUUACUUCAACAUCUGUAGAAGUAUUUUAAUUUCUUCCUUGAGUAGGUUUGGCUUGGCCAACUGAAACUGUGGUUAAACUAUUUUUAAUCAUGUUAAUAAGAAAAUUGUC